UACGUAGGUGACCAGCGUUGUCCGGAUUUACUGGGCGUAAAGAGCGCGCAGGCGGUCGUUCAAGUCGAGUGUGAAAGCCCCCGGCUCAACUGGGGAGGGUCACUCGAUACUGAUCGACUUGAAGGCAGGAGAGGGAAGCGGAAUUCCCGGUGUAGUGGUGAAAUGCGUAGAUAUCGGGAGGAACACCAGUGGCGAAGGCGGGUUGCUGGGCUGAUACUGACGCUGAGGCGCGAAAGCCAGGGGAGCGAACGGG
Molecule: ribosomal RNA, 253 nt
Filed under: uncultured bacterium
Lineage: Bacteria
Description: partial 16S ribosomal RNA
Rfam family: Bacterial small subunit ribosomal RNA
Source: RNAcentral